Suricata suricatta (meerkat) is the source of this 675-nucleotide long non-coding RNA. RefSeq lists it as uncharacterized. NCBI's taxonomy places the organism in Eukaryota, Metazoa, Chordata, Mammalia, Carnivora, Herpestidae. The transcript has 2 exons. The record is from RefSeq and is a predicted model, not a curated record.
AUGAAGCAAGGUCUUCAAAACUGAGAUACCUUGUUUCUCAGCUAGAGCUCUGUACUCAGCCAAAGUCUUAUUUUGGUGUGAGAACAAAACAACAUUUUUAAACAUGCAAGAUCUCAAAAAUAUGUGCUCUUUCUCAGGAAGCUAGUGGAUGAGGGCCACUAAAAUGACAGGAAGUCAAAAAAGAAAACUCUAGAGAGAAGUGAAAGGAAAUCCCGGGAUGAUAGUAAAGAAAGCUGCCAGGAUGCUGCUGAUGGGUGUGGAUUCUAACAGAUGAGAAGACUCAGAUAUCGUUUUAAAUGGAUAGGUACCCAAGAUCCAAGGGAUACGAAGAACCAGAAUUUGAACUCUAAAACCCAAGAUCUUUCCACCACUCCAUUCUUCCUUCAGCAAGUACUUCAGUUCGGACACUAUGAUCCUGGGUCGCACUUUCUUAUGUGUAUGCUGAGAAAAUUGGCUAUGAAGAUCUCUACUAGCACUAAAAUUCCAAAUCUGCGAAUCUGAAUCCCUCAUCUAGAGAGAGGGGGAAAAAAGCAAGCAAAAGAAUUCCACAUUCUCUUCAACUCAUCAAUUUCACUUACAAGUAAACACUCUAGAGAAAUUCUAGUACAAGUGUACAAGGAAACAUGCACAAGAAUGUUUACUGCCACACUGUACCAUUAAAAAAUUUGAAACAUG